This 301-nucleotide ribosomal RNA is filed under the name uncultured bacterium. Its description in RNAcentral is "partial 16S ribosomal RNA". It matches the Rfam family "Bacterial small subunit ribosomal RNA", at positions 509 to 807 of the family's 1533-position model. The record is from RNAcentral.
CAGCCGCCGCGGUAAAACGUAGGGUGCGAGCGUUAAUCGGAAUUACUGGGCGUAAAGCGUGCGCAGGCGGUUGUGUAAGACAGGCGUGAAAUCCCCGGGCUUAACCUGGGAACUGCGCUUGUGACUGCACAGCUAGAGUAUGGCAGAGGGGGGUGGAAUUCCACGUGUAGCAGUGAAAUGCGUAGAGAUCGGAAGGAACAUCUAUGGCGAAGGCGACUAUCUGGGCCAACACUGACACUGAGGCACGAAAGCGUGGGGAGCAAACAGGAUUAGAUACCCCAGUAGUCCCUGUCUCUUAUAC